CUUCGGUGAUGAUUUGAUGACGAAUCUGAAUGGAAUACUUCAUCUCUGGUGUGCUGGACCGCAGUCAUGUUCUGUGACUUUGGCUACUGGCUCUUCAGUUUGUGGUAUCCUUAUUAGUUGAUUACUAUGAGGCAUUUGUCUGAGAAGG
Small nucleolar RNA from Erpetoichthys calabaricus (reedfish), 148 nucleotides. Lineage: Eukaryota; Metazoa; Chordata; Cladistia; Polypteriformes; Polypteridae. The record is from Ensembl.